RNAcentral lists this ribosomal RNA (464 nucleotides) under Vreelandella stevensii. RNAcentral's name for it is "partial 16S ribosomal RNA". It matches the Rfam family "Bacterial small subunit ribosomal RNA", at positions 338 to 795 of the family's 1533-position model. The record is from RNAcentral. Lineage: Bacteria; Pseudomonadati; Pseudomonadota; Gammaproteobacteria; Oceanospirillales; Halomonadaceae.
CCUACGGGUGGCAGCAGUGGGGAAUAUUGGACAAUGGGCGAAAGCCUGAUCCAGCCAUGCCGCGUGUGUGAAGAAGGCCUUCGGGUUGUAAAGCACUUUCAGUGGGGAAGAAAGCCUUGGGGCUAAUACCCUCGAGGAAGGACAUCACCCACAGAAGAAGCACCGGCUAACUCCGUGCCAGCAGCCGCGGUAAUACGGAGGGUGCGAGCGUUAAUCGGAAUUACUGGGCGAAAGCGCGCGUAGGCGGUCUGAUAAGCCGGUUGUGAAAGCCCCGGGCUCAACCUGGGAACGGCAUCCGGAACUGUCAGGCUAGAGUGCAGGAGAGGAAGGUAGAAUUCCCGGUGUAGCGGUGAAAUGCGUAGAGAUCGGGAGGAAUACCAGUGGCGAAGGCGGCCUUCUGGACUGACACUGACGCUGAGGUGCGAAAGCGUGGGUAGCAAACAGGAUUAGAUACCCGGGUAGUC